This 589-nucleotide ribosomal RNA is filed under the name Staphylococcus pseudintermedius. RNAcentral's name for it is "partial 23S ribosomal RNA". It matches the Rfam family "Bacterial large subunit ribosomal RNA", at positions 2242 to 2832 of the family's 2925-position model. Lineage: Bacteria; Bacillati; Bacillota; Bacilli; Caryophanales; Staphylococcaceae. The record is from RNAcentral.
UGCUGGGAGACAGUGUCAGGCGGGCAGUUUGACUGGGGCGGUCGCCUCCUAAAGAGUAACGGAGGCGCUCAAAGGUUCCCUCAGAAUGGUUGGAAAUCAUUCAUAGAGUGUAAAGGCAUAAGGGAGCUUGACUGCGAGACCUACAAGUCGAGCAGGGUCGAAAGACGGACUUAGUGAUCCGGUGGUUCCGCAUGGAAGGGCCAUCGCUCAACGGAUAAAAGCUACCCCGGGGAUAACAGGCUUAUCUCCCCCAAGAGUUCACAUCGACGGGGAGGUUUGGCACCUCGAUGUCGGCUCAUCGCAUCCUGGGGCUGUAGUCGGUCCCAAGGGUUGGGCUGUUCGCCCAUUAAAGCGGUACGCGAGCUGGGUUCAGAACGUCGUGAGACAGUUCGGUCCCUAUCCGUCGUGGGCGUAGGAAAUUUGAGAGGAGCUGUCCUUAGUACGAGAGGACCGGGAUGGACAUACCUCUGGUGUACCAGUUGUCGUGCCAACGGCAUAGCUGGGUAGCUAUGUAUGGACGGGAUAAGUGCUGAAAGCAUCUAAGCAUGAAGCCCCCCUCGAGAUGAGAUUUCCCAACUUCGGUUAUAAG